Molecule: ribosomal RNA, 480 nt
Filed under: uncultured bacterium
Lineage: Bacteria
Description: partial 16S ribosomal RNA
Rfam family: Bacterial small subunit ribosomal RNA
Source: RNAcentral
GAUGAACGCUCGCGGCAGGCCUAACACAUGCAAGUCGAGGGGUAGAAGGAGCUUGCUCCUUUGAGACCGGCGCACGGGUGCGUAACGCGUAUGCAAUCUACCUUGUACAGGGGAAUAGCCCAGAGAAAUUUGGAUUAAUGCCCCAUAGUAUAUAACCUUCGCAUGUUGGUUAUAUUAAAGUUCCAACGGUACAAGAUGAGCAUGCGUCCCAUUAGUUAGUUGGUAAGGUAACGGCUUACCAAGACGAUGAUGGGUAGGGGUCCUGAGAGGGAGAUCCCCCACACUGGUACUGGGACCCGGACCAGACUCCUACGGGAGGCAGCAGUGAGGAAUAUUGGUCAAUGGUCGCAAGACUGAACCAGCCAUGCCGCGUGCAGGAAGACGGUCCUAUGGAUGGUAAACUGCUUUUAGACAAGAAGAAACCCUCCCACGUGUGGGAGCUUGACGGUACUGUAGGAAUAAGGAUCGGCUAACUCCGUG